This 248-nucleotide ribosomal RNA is filed under the name uncultured bacterium. RNAcentral describes it as "partial 16S ribosomal RNA". It matches the Rfam family "Bacterial small subunit ribosomal RNA", at positions 524 to 776 of the family's 1533-position model. The record is from RNAcentral.
UACGUAGGGGCAAGCGUUGUCCGGAUUUAUUGGGCGUAAAGAGCUCGUAGGCGGUUCAUUGCGUCAAUCGUGAAAUCCUGUGGCUCAACUACAGGCUUGCGGUUGAUACGGGUGGCUGGAGUUCGUAGGGAGACUGGAAUUCCUGGUGUAGCGGUGAAAUGCGCAGAUAUCAGGAAGAACACCCGUGGCGAAAGCGGCUCUCUGGAACGGUACUGACGCUGAGACGCGAAGCGUGGGGAGCGAACAGG